Molecule: signal recognition particle RNA, 148 nt
Filed under: Gorilla gorilla gorilla (western lowland gorilla)
Lineage: Eukaryota; Metazoa; Chordata; Mammalia; Primates; Hominidae
Description: Metazoan signal recognition particle RNA
Rfam family: Metazoan signal recognition particle RNA
About the family: The signal recognition particle (SRP) is a universally conserved ribonucleoprotein. It is involved in the co-translational targeting of proteins to membranes.
Source: Rfam by way of RNAcentral
GCUGGGCAUGGUGGCACAUGCCUGUACUCCCAGCUACUUGGGAGGCUGAGGUGGGAGGAUCACUUGAGCCCAGGAGGUCAAGACUGCAGUGAGCUGUGAUAAGCCUACUGCACUCCAGCCUGGGCAACAGAGUGAGACUCUGUCUCAA